CUGUCCUUCUCCCUGUCUGUCCCUUCCUCCCUCUCCCCGCUAUGUGAGACCACAGUGGGGAAGAGGCUGUCUACAAACCUGGAGGAAGUCUCACCAGAACCUAGAAAACAACCGUGCUGGCACCCUGAUCUCGGAUGGCCCAGCCUCCAGAAUUAGCAGAUCUUACGAAGCUAAGAUACAGCAGCCCGCUGCAGUGACACCAGCAGAUGUUGUGUUCCAAGCAGUGCCUGGACUUUGCAACCGCCUUCAUCCUGGAAGAGAAUGGCAAAGAUGUGACCAAAGGGAUGACGGAGGCCAUGACAUUUUGACUUUGGAGCAGGACAAGCUGGGUCCUUGGUUUGACGAACUUAUCACACACCUGAAGGAGGAACAGAGAACGCAGAGCAGCCGUGUGUCUCAGAGUUGCCCCCAGCCAAGCAGGGCAUGCCCCAGGGGACGCUUUGUGCUUUCGGAGGCAUGAGAUGUGCUUAGCUGCAUGGAAACAUGAGAUGACGCUUGGAUCUCCACGGAAACCAUGUUGCGUUAUGUUGUGAUCGAUGUGGAUGUGAGACAUGGAGAAACGGAGGAAAAAGGGGCCCCGAUGCAUUCAACCCUACAAAACUGGUGGUGUUUCUGAAUGUUGGUGCUGCUGAGGCUGUCUUGCUGUGAAAGAUGUUUGAUUUCUGCUGUAAAAGUCAG
Hipposideros armiger (great roundleaf bat) is the source of this 678-nucleotide long non-coding RNA. RefSeq lists it as uncharacterized. The transcript has 5 exons. NCBI's taxonomy places the organism in Eukaryota, Metazoa, Chordata, Mammalia, Chiroptera, Hipposideridae. The record is from RefSeq and is a predicted model, not a curated record.